This 117-nucleotide ribosomal RNA is filed under the name Sinocyclocheilus grahami. Lineage: Eukaryota; Metazoa; Chordata; Actinopteri; Cypriniformes; Cyprinidae. The record is from RNAcentral.
AACAGCCAGCCAUAUCACCCUGUAGCCCAAGACUGGUUGCCACUGAAGCUAAGCAGUGUUGAGCCUGGUCAGUACCUGGAUAGGAGACCUCCUGAGAAAACUAGGUUGCUGCUGGAA